AAUAAGUUUUAUUUUAGCUUUAAGUUUUAGUUUAUAUUUUUAUUUAUAUAUAAAUUUGAGUGAGAAAUUUAAAAAUUAAUUUGUUUAAAAUAAUUAAUUAAAAUUUAUUAUUAUAAUAAUAGUAGUAAUUAAUAUUAUUUAUAAAAGAAAUUUUGAAAUAGAAAUAUAUAAGAGUAUUGGCAUAAUUUGUGCCAGCAGUCGCGGUUAAACAGAUAAUACUAUUAAAUUUUAUUGGUUAAUAAUAAAUAAGAAUUAUUUUUAAUUUAAAAUUAAAUUUAAUAAGUGAAAUUAUAAAUUUAAAUUAAAUUAAAUAUUUAUUAAAUUAUAAAGUUAUGAAACUUAAAUAUUAAACUAGGAUUAGAUACCCUAUUAUAAUAAGUAUAAAUUUUUUAUGCCAGAGUAGUAUUAGUUAUGAUCUUGAAAAUUAAAAAAUUUGGCGGUAUUUUAGUCUUUUCAGAGGAACCUGUCCUAUAAUUGAUAAUCCACGAUUAAUUGUACUUAAUUUAAUAGCUUGUAUAUCGUUGUAGUUGAAUGUCUUAGGAGAGUAUAAAAUGUUCAAUAAUUAUAAUUUAUAAAAUAAAUCAGAUCAAGAUACAGCUUAUAAUUAAGAAGAGAUGGGUUACAAUAAAAUUAUUUAAUAAUGGUUAUAAUAAUUAACAUUAUUAUAUAAAGCGGAUUUGAUAGUAAUAUAAUUUAAUUAAAUUAUAUGAUUUUAGCUCUAAAAUAUGUACAUAUCGCCCGUCACUUCCAUUGAAAUAUUUAUUAAAAUGGAAUAAGUCGUAACAUAGUAGGCGUACCGGAAGGUGUGCCUAGAUAGAA
This 819-nucleotide non-coding RNA is filed under the name Copris tripartitus. Lineage: Eukaryota; Metazoa; Arthropoda; Insecta; Coleoptera; Scarabaeidae. The record is from RNAcentral.